CAAAGCGUAACGGAGGAGCACGAAGGUUAGCUAAUCCUGGUCGGACAUCAGGAGGUUAGUGCAAUGGCAUAAGCUAGCUUGACUGCGAGCGUGACGGCGCGAGCAGGUGCGAAAGCAGGUCAUAGUGAUCCGGUGGUUCUGAAUGGAAGGGCCAUCGCUCAACGGAUAAAAGGUACUCCGGGGAUAACAGGCUGAUACCGCCCAAGAGUUCAUAUCGACGGCGGUGUUUGGCACCUCGAUGUCGGCUCAUCACAUCCUGGGGCUGAAGUAGGUCCCAAGGGUAUGGCUGUUCGCCAUUUAAAGUGGUACGCGAGCUGGGUUUAGAACGUCGUGAGACAGUUCGGUCCCUAUCUGCCGUGGGCGCUGGAGAAUUGAGGGGGGCUGCUCCUAGUACGAGAGGACCGGAGUGGACGCAUCACUGGUGUU
Molecule: ribosomal RNA, 426 nt
Filed under: Klebsiella pneumoniae
Lineage: Bacteria; Pseudomonadati; Pseudomonadota; Gammaproteobacteria; Enterobacterales; Enterobacteriaceae
Description: partial 23S ribosomal RNA
Rfam family: Bacterial large subunit ribosomal RNA
Source: RNAcentral